GUGAAUCAUCGAAUCUUUGAACGCAAAUUGCACUCCCUGGUAUUCCGGGGAGUAUGCCUGUUUGAGGGUCGUUAGAACAAUAAUCGCUGCGUCGCUCUUUUUUUAAAGGGUGAUCGCGGCGGAAUUGAUCCGUCUUUCAAAUGUUAAUUCAUGUCGACGUGGCUUAAAAUUCAUCCAUCAGGUACGUUUAAAGCGUACGUAAGAUCAAUUUUGAUUAAGAACGCGCGAUGAACGUACCAUCUCAUGUAGUACG
RNAcentral lists this unclassified non-coding RNA (253 nucleotides) under Funneliformis mosseae. RNAcentral's name for it is "partial contains 5.8S ribosomal RNA and internal transcribed spacer 2". The stretch from base 1 to 71 matches the Rfam family "5.8S ribosomal RNA", at positions 84 to 154 of the family's 154-position model. Lineage: Eukaryota; Fungi; Glomeromycota; Glomeromycetes; Glomerales; Glomeraceae. The record is from RNAcentral.